Molecule: long non-coding RNA, 4143 nt
Organism: Octopus bimaculoides (California two-spot octopus)
Lineage: Eukaryota; Metazoa; Mollusca; Cephalopoda; Octopoda; Octopodidae
Source: RefSeq, a predicted model, not a curated record
AAAAAAAAAAUAACCCGGCAGCAACUUAACAUUCAGGCAGGCUUUACAGUGCAGAAACGGAGGCAGCUAGCUUGAAUUGUACUUAGUGUAACCGUGGAGACAGGCAAGAGGCAAUUGUAGUAGUACUGAGGAGACACAAGAGAGGCAGGAUUGUACUUAGUGUAACCAAGGAAAUGGGCAGAAGCAGAUUGGUGGCUCUCAAAGAACACCACUCUAAAUUAAAAAAAAAAAAUAUUAAAAAGAUCCAAUAAAAAGAAGAAACAACAGAGAAAAAAAAAUGACUUGGUAGCAGGCUUUGAUCAUCAUUUUACAAUUUUAAGACAUUUUCAAGUGACAGUCGUAGCGUAAGGGUCAUAUUUGGCCGUAGAUGUAUGAGACUUUGACACAUUUUGGGACAUUUUCUAUAUUAAUCAUUUGGCUUGUAGUUUAGAAGUGGGAUGUGUAAGCUAGAUUUGAAAUUUUCAAUAUAAACAGACAAUAAUAAAGUUGUUGUGUUAGGUCUAAUUAAGCUUUGACAUUGCCCACUGCUUGGCAUAAUACGUAAAUGUUAAUUAUAUUAAGAAAAUGUAUGAAGGCAAAGUAUUGGUCAGGUUUAAUAUUCUUUUCAUGUAAUACUGUCAACUGUGAUGGUAUUUUGUGACAACACUUUGCUGACUGUUAGUACUCCACACUAGAAACUGCAAGAUAUAAAAAGGUGCUAGAGCCUAGUAGUGUGAAACUAGUUUCUCUAUGAACUGUUAUUGCUUUCCUUGAAUGUUGAGUUCAGCUUUGGUGGUUAUAAAAACAACAAUGGACUUUCCAGAUUUUUUUCCAAUAUAUUUGUUGUGUUCUUCUUUCCAUAGUGUAAUAAGUCACAUGUUAUUUGUGAAAAACAUGUUUGUGAUUCUUUAGAUUCUGGUCUUUCACUACUUAUUAUUUCUACAGCUCAUAAAUGGACAGUGUUAGUGAUCUUCUGUGACCAUACAGAGUAUUUGAACAUUGUCUUACAGACACUUCCAUAGUUUGUAAAUGUUUUUGAUACAAACCAUUAUGUCAUAGCUGAUUUUUUCUAGUCAGUUAUCAAACAACUGUCAUUUUCAUCGAACUGCAGUAAAAUUUGCAUGUACCCAUUUUUUUAAAACUUUUUUUUUUAAAUUUUUUCUCCCUAAAAAAUAAAAUAUUGAAAAUUAGUCGUUGAGAAUGUGUGUUAUUUCUGUUUCUAUUGGGUAUACAUUAAGAAAACAUCUGCUCAUUGUGGAAGUCUAAUUUGUUUAAUAAUAUUUUAGUAGCAGCAGCUGUUGUCAUCGUUCACGGAUACAUAAGACUUUGUAUUUCAAAUUCUUUUAUUUUGAUGUUUGGGUUUUUAAAAAAAAAUUUUUCUACUCCUUAAAGGAAGUUCCAAAUCAUCAGAAAUACAUAAUUUAGGAAUUGGACUUAAUUCUUGAACAUUUGCUGCACAUUUUAAUAAAAAUACUCCUUUAUUUAGCAAAAGUUUGUGUUUGAGACAUUAGCUAUUAUUAAUGCUGUAGAUGGAAAUAUAGAAACGUGUAAAUGUUAAGUACAGCAUAUUUAAUAAUUGUAUUUGGAUGAAAAAUUAGUCUUUAUUCCAGGCAUUGAUUUACUUGACACAAGUCUCCUGAAAUUGUAGCUUAUUGCAGUUGCAAGCUUUCAUAAAACUGCCAAUGUAUUUGCUUGUGUGCAUGACUUUGGAGUAAGCUACAAUUUUGAGAGGAAUUCUUUCACCGCUGCAGAUUUUCUACAUGAACUUCCAUUCUGCUUUCUUUUGUGGCUUAUAUCUAGUAUUGUUUUAAAUGGAGUAAUUUUUCUGAACGAAUCAAUUUGACUUCCAUAUGUAACAGCACUGAGAUAUAUUCCAACAUAAAUUUUGUUGCAUUAAACACUAAUUCACUCUAUUCUAGAUUAAAGUGUUAAGCAUUAGUUUGGUUUUUUGUUAGAUUUAGCUCAUAAUGAAUGACUUGAAAUCUAUAAAAUUUUAUAAUGCUCUGUUGUUACAUAGUGACAUGAAUUAUUAUAAGAUUUCCAAGUAUUUUGAAGUUACUCAAAAUUUAGUAUUUAGAAUGGAUUUUCAUUAAAAAAUACUUGUAACAAUGUUAAAAAUAAACCAAAAACAAAAGGAAAAAUAAGUUGGCUACAUGAAGUAUGUUGGAAUGCAUCCAGUUUGGGUUAUCUUUUUGUAAACCUUAUUUGUAUAAAAUUAUUAAAUAUCACAAGUUUCUUCAUAAAAUGCUCUUUUAAUGCAAACCUGGGACCAAUUUUAAGUUAGUAGAGAAAUUACUUUUAAUAUCAAAUUUGAAAAGAAAAGAAAAAAAGAAUUUAAAAAAUGUGUUUGAACAUUGAAAAAUGUAUAACUUGAGAUUACAUCGUAGCAAUUUCUGAAGUUAUUAAAACUUAAUUCUUCUCUACCGAUAGAUCAAUUUGACUUAAUGUUACCAUUACUAAGAUGAGAGUUACAUGGACUCUAAAAUGUUGUUAUAUGUUUCAUUUGUUCAGUGAUGCCUAGCUUUUUCUUCAUUAUUGUUUGUUGCAUCAAAUAACGGUUAAUUUUUAAUCAUACAAAGACUUCCAUCAUGGACAGCAAUGCUUUGAUUUGCAAAAUAUUUUUUAAAAUUAUCAAAUUCAGUUGUGCAUUGCUCUGUUGUAAAAAAAAAAACAAAAACAAAACUGUUCAUCGGAAUAUUUCCAAGAAAUGGCUUAUUCCCAUCAACAGUUAAUGUUUUGGCAUGAUACAUGAUGCUGCUGUCAUGAGAUUCUUUAAAUAUUUCUUUGCAGAGUAUUGAAAUUUUUCAACUGAAAAUGUUUCCUGGUUCUUAUGUAUUAAGCACUGCCUUUUUUAGAUUAAUAUGAUUGAUGCAAAAUUAUUAUUUUUCAUGUUUGAGUGUCAUCACUCCAGAUUAGAGUAUGAAACCUCUGCAAUAUAGAUUUAUCUGUUGUGGUGGUGGGAAUUAGAAAGAAUUGGUUUUCUACAGCAGUUUUAUUAGAUAAAAACAAAUAUGAUUGGUGGCAUAGCUAGUUGCUUUUUCACAGUCAGAAAAAAUAAAAUGGUUGAUUGAUGAUCAUGGACCCCAAAAAACUCUGAAAUGAUCAUCCCCAAUGACGCCAGUCUAGUUAGUUUUUGCUUGAACAGGAUUUUGCCAUGUCUAACCCUUCAACUCACAAGAUAGCUUAAAGUGUCAAGUCGCAGCCAAGGAAAAAGACACCUUUAAGUGCAGGUAAGAUAGGAUUUUAGUAAAUUCCAACUUUUAGAUUAGACUGUUAAUUGUUUCCUAAUUAUUGGUUGUUUGUAUUCGUUUAAUAGUUUAAAAAGAGAAAAUGGAAUUUUCUAUAGAGUCUGCUAAGAAAAUGUCUUGUCAGGUAAACUUUUCCAUGAGGUUCCUUUAUUCAGCUGUUGAUAGUUGAUUGGUCAAAAAUCUACUACAUGCACUUUCGGCUUAAUGACAAUUUCUGUAGAGGCACUGAAGUAAUGUAUUUUAUAAUACUUUAUAUAAUAGCUAUGAACUUUUAUGUUUACCUGGUAAAAAUUCUAUGAAAAGAAAAUCUCACUAAACAGUCAAGACGUAGACUUUUUUUUUUUUCUUCAAGUGAUAUGGAUGAUUCUCUGUGGGGCAAUUUUAAUGUAAAUCUUUCGUGCUUUGACCCCGCAAAAUGUAGCUAAUUUUUAGAAUUGAAAAUUGUUAGCAGCAGAGAAGUUCAGUGGCUGAUAAGAAGAGCAGUUUGGUAAUAAACCGAAUUUUUUAACAAGAUCAGUAAAUUUUAAUUCUGUUUGGAAUAUUGUUAGUGUAGAGAAAUAGAACAUUAAAGAUUGUGAGAAAACCCUGAUUUUUAUGAAUGCUUUUCACAUUUUUAUAGCAAAGUGUUUAAAAAGUGUAUUUUUAAUUUUUUUUUAGUUUGGUCCAUCAGGCUUGCAGAAGUGUUGAAAAUAAAUUUGUGCUGCAUCUAUGGACUUUUUUUAAAAUUAUAAUCCUAGCUGUGAUAUCGAAGAGGAAAACCUUCUGCAAAUCGAUCAGUUCUGACUGACUUCAAUUUGGAACUUUUGAGCAGGAAACAAGAUUACUUGUGGAAGUGGAGGCUUCUAUUCAUCCUGGAAGCAUGAAUGAAUGUACAUAAAAACCUUUUUAACUAAAUAAAUCUAUUUUUCUACAAAUG